This 1674-nucleotide ribosomal RNA is filed under the name Escherichia coli. RNAcentral's name for it is "23S ribosomal RNA (partial)". It matches the Rfam family "Bacterial large subunit ribosomal RNA", at positions 1272 to 2925 of the family's 2925-position model. Lineage: Bacteria; Pseudomonadati; Pseudomonadota; Gammaproteobacteria; Enterobacterales; Enterobacteriaceae. The record is from RNAcentral.
GCUGGAGGUAUCAGAAGUGCGAAUGCUGACAUAAGUAACGAUAAAGCGGGUGAAAAGCCCGCUCGCCGGAAGACCAAGGGUUCCUGUCCAACGUUAAUCGGGGCAGGGUGAGUCGACCCCUAAGGCGAGGCCGAAAGGCGUAGUCGAUGGGAAACAGGUUAAUAUUCCUGUACUUGGUGUUACUGCGAAGGGGGGACGGAGAAGGCUAUGUUGGCCGGGCGACGGUUGUCCCGGUUUAAGCGUGUAGGCUGGUUUUCCAGGCAAAUCCGGAAAACCAAGGCUGAGGCGUGAUGACGAGGCACUACGGUGCUGAAGUGACAAAUGCCCUGCUUCCAGGAAAAGCCUCUAAGCAUCAGGUAACAUCAAAUCGUACCCCAAACCGACACAGGUGGUCAGGUAGAGAAUACCAAGGCGCUUGAGAGAACUCGGGUGAAGGAACUAGGCAAAAUGGUGCCGUAACUUCGGGAGAAGGCACGCUGAUAUGUAGGUGAAGCGACUUGCUCGUGGAGCUGAAAUCAGUCGAAGAUACCAGCUGGCUGCAACUGUUUAUUAAAAACACAGCACUGUGCAAACACGAAAGUGGACGUAUACGGUGUGACGCCUGCCCGGUGCCGGAAGGUUAAUUGAUGGGGUUAGCGGUAACGCGAAGCUCUUGAUCGAAGCCCCGGUAAACGGCGGCCGUAACUAUAACGGUCCUAAGGUAGCGAAAUUCCUUGUCGGGUAAGUUCCGACCUGCACGAAUGGCGUAAUGAUGGCCAGGCUGUCUCCACCCGAGACUCAGUGAAAUUGAACUCGCUGUGAAGAUGCAGUGUACCCGCGGCAAGACGGAAAGACCCCGUGAACCUUUACUAUAGCUUGACACUGAACAUUGAGCCUUGAUGUGUAGGAUAGGUGGGAGGCUUUGAAGUGUGGACGCCAGUCUGCAUGGAGCCGACCUUGAAAUACCACCCUUUAAUGUUUGAUGUUCUAACGUUGGCCCGUAAUCCGGGUUGCGGACAGUGUCUGGUGGGUAGUUUGACUGGGGCGGUCUCCUCCUAAAGAGUAACGGAGGAGCACGAAGGUUGGCUAAUCCUGGUCGGACAUCAGGAGGUUAGUGCAAUGGCAUAAGCCAGCUUGACUGCGAGCGUGACGGCGCGAGCAGGUGCGAAAGCAGGUCAUAGUGAUCCGGUGGUUCUGAAUGGAAGGGCCAUCGCUCAACGGAUAAAAGGUACUCCGGGGAUAACAGGCUGAUACCGCCCAAGAGUUCAUAUCGACGGCGGUGUUUGGCACCUCGAUGUCGGCUCAUCACAUCCUGGGGCUGAAGUAGGUCCCAAGGGUAUGGCUGUUCGCCAUUUAAAGUGGUACGCGAGCUGGGUUUAGAACGUCGUGAGACAGUUCGGUCCCUAUCUGCCGUGGGCGCUGGAGAACUGAGGGGGGCUGCUCCUAGUACGAGAGGACCGGAGUGGACGCAUCACUGGUGUUCGGGUUGUCAUGCCAAUGGCACUGCCCGGUAGCUAAAUGCGGAAGAGAUAAGUGCUGAAAGCAUCUAAGCACGAAACUUGCCCCGAGAUGAGUUCUCCCUGAGACUUAGAGUCUCCUGAAGGAACGUUGAAGACGACGACGUUGAUAGGCCGGGUGUGUAAGCGCAGCGAUGCGUUGAGCUAACCGGUACUAAUGAACCGUGAGGCUUAACCU